GAUGAAGAACGCAGCGAAAUGCGAUACUUGGUGUGAAUUGCAGAAUCCCGUGAACCAUCGAGUCUUUGAACGCAAGUUGCGCCCGAAGCCAUCAGGUUGAGGGCACGUCUGCCUGGGCGUCACAUAUCGUUGCCCAAUGCCUAUUGCAGUGCAAUAGGAAUUUCUAGGGCGAAUGAUGGCUUCCCGUGAGCGUUGUUGCCUCGCUGUUGGUUGAAAAUCGAGUCCUUGGUAGGGUGUGCCAUGGUAGAUGGUGGUCGAGUUAGAACGAUACCGAUCAUGUGCAUGCUCCCCAAAAUAUGGCCUCUAUGACCCACACGCGUCUUUUGACGCUCAUGACGAGACCUCAGGUCAGGCGGGGCUACCCGCUGAAUUUAAGCAUAUCAAUAAGCGGAGGA
This 395-nucleotide unclassified non-coding RNA is filed under the name soil metagenome. RNAcentral's name for it is "partial contains 5.8S ribosomal RNA, internal transcribed spacer 2, and large subunit ribosomal RNA". The stretch from base 1 to 122 matches the Rfam family "5.8S ribosomal RNA", at positions 35 to 154 of the family's 154-position model. The record is from RNAcentral.